AUUUAAAUAGUUUAUAAAAACAUUACAUUUUCAUUGUAAAAUUAAGAUAUUUUCUUUUUAAAUA
RNAcentral lists this transfer RNA (64 nucleotides) under Neopsylla specialis. RNAcentral describes it as "tRNA-Glu". RNAcentral also lists the same sequence under 2 other names. Lineage: Eukaryota; Metazoa; Arthropoda; Insecta; Siphonaptera; Ctenophthalmidae. The record is from RNAcentral.